UACACUCCUGCGGGAGGCAGCAGUGGGGAAUUUUGGACAAUGGGGGCAACCCUGAUCCAGCAAUGCCGCGUGAGUGAAGAAGGCCUUCGGGUUGUAAAGCUCUUUUGUCAGGGAAGAAACGGUGGUGGCGAAUAACUACUACUAAUGACGGUACCUGAAGAAUAAGCACCGGCUAACUACGUGCCAGCAGCCGCGGUAAUACGUAGGGUGCAAGCGUUAAUCGGAAUUACUGGGCGUAAAGCGUGCGCAGGCGGUUGUGUAAGUCAGAUGUGAAAUCCCCGGGCUCAACCUGGGAAUUGCAUUUGAGACUGCACGGCUAGAGUGUGUCAGAGGGGGGUAGAAUUCCACGUGUAGCAGUGAAAUGCGUAGAUAUGUGGAGGAAUACCGAUGGCGAAGGCAGCCCCCUGGGAUAACACUGACGCUCAUGCACGAAAGCGUGGGGAGCAAACAGGAUUAGAAACCCGUGUAGUCC
Molecule: ribosomal RNA, 472 nt
Filed under: uncultured organism
Description: partial 16S ribosomal RNA
Rfam family: Bacterial small subunit ribosomal RNA
Source: RNAcentral